UCUCUAGAAGCCUUAGGCCGAUUAGUUAGACUGAUCUUUGUGAUAUAGCUUUUGUGGUCUUGUUUAGCGAUUACGCAUUGCCGUGCUGUCUUCAACAAAUCUCUCUGCUCUUCUCCUUGAUGCGGAGAUUAGUUAACCCCUGGGCCAGUUAAGAGAGUUUGAGGCAUAGCCCAGGUGUUUUUAGCGAAGCCGAAAUGAAAUGUUGGUAGUUCCGCCGGGGAAGAAGAAGAAUUCUAGAUCGAAUGCGACUGGGAUUGAGGAAGGCUAGCUUUGACGGGGUUCAGGCUCCAGGGGAAUGCUUUUUAAGCUCUAACCAGGAAAUGAAAUAUUAAUAGAAUUCUUCCAUUAGACGGUCAGAUCAAGCUAUUGAAGAAUUUUGACUUGGGGCAGUUUCACAGGGGUGUAGCGAGCAGAAAAUUCCCUAGAAGACAAAGCUAGCUCUAUAAGGUAAGGAAGAAAAUCAGUCAACACUAAAAGCCCAAAGGCUAGCGAUGUCACCGCCGGGUAGGAGUUCAAUUCAAGAAGAUGGAUCCGUUUAAGCCGCUAUUUCAUCAGCAUCUGGCACUGCUUGACUUGCUUUCACUGCUUGUAGCUUGAACGUGGCACUAAAGCUUCCAUGUCAACUAAAGAGUGAACGAAAGACAGUAGAGCACAGAGGGAAUUACCAAUGAAACAGUAGAGUGAAAGUAGUUUUACUAAUUUUGACUAAAUCUUGACUUCUUCUAAAAGCAUCAGCGUAUUAUGCUCUUACUCUUUUUUUUGUCUCUUUUUGUCUCUUUCUCUUUCAAUUUUAUG
Molecule: long non-coding RNA, 795 nt
Filed under: Durio zibethinus
Lineage: Eukaryota; Viridiplantae; Streptophyta; Magnoliopsida; Malvales; Malvaceae
Description: long non-coding RNA (DZIB_LNC000645)
Source: RNAcentral